UUAAAUUUAAUAAAUUUUAAUCACUAUGACACUAAAAUAACAAAACAGGUUUUUCUUAAAUAUUUUAUUCAAUGGCAUCUAAAAUGGUUUUUUUUUUUCCUUAAAGCAGUUUUGGCCCUUAAAGCACAAUGCCAAACAGGCAUUUAAUGGCAUUAAAGCACAUUUACAACACUUAUUAACUAUUCUUUUCUUAGGUAGUAGAAUGUGGAACAUUUCCUACGUCAAAAGUUAUAAUGGGGGGGAGAAAGAAUAGAAGUCUCAUAUGUCUAUGAUUCUGUAUUAUGCAAUGGCCUAGCAGAUAUCAGAUGGUGAAUACAGUAUGAGGAAUGGACAUAUGCAAAGGUACAUUAGAUAGUGAAUACACUAAGAGGAAUGAACAUAUGAUGUCAUCUGUAAACACAAACCUGAAGAAACAAUACCAUCUGCAGUAACUUGGAUAACUUUUAGGUCCAAUGCAUCAAGCUGAGCUCAGAAUUGAGUGAUAUCAGCCUGUUUUCCCUGUUUUUUCACCUCAAGUAGAUAAAUUAAUUUAACUUAAUCAUUCAUUCAGUCCAGGGUCAAAUCAGCAGCUCAACAGCUCAUGCAGAUGCCUCAAUCCUUUCUCAUUGGGCAAACCUAGGGAGGAGCAUUCAGUCUGUUCAGUUCCAAACCGAACCUAACAAGCAAAACUGAAAAACCGAUUGACCUUGAAAUCCAGACUGAAUCAAUAGUAAAGAAAUAACGGAACUGAACCAAACAGAAAAAUAUCAAAAUUAUCAGCAUACAUAAAAAUCAACAUCAGCAUACAUAAAAAUCAAUUCACAUGGGCUGAGAUUAGUCUAUGGGCUGGGCCUACACAAAAUAUACAUAAGCCAUAUAAAAAGAAGGCCUUUUAUAUACAUAUAUUGGUCGAUUCUCUUUUUUUUUUUUGGUUGAAAAAACCAAACUGAAAACCAAAAUUAUCUAAAAUCCCAAACCUAACCAAACUGCCUAGACUGAAAAACUAAACUGAUUGAUCUGAAUUGAUUUGGUUCUGUUGGGUGUUUCAAUUUAAACAGAAAAUUGCACGCCCCUGGGUAAACCAGCACCCCCUGAUGUCUAAAGCAUCCCUGUUGUUGUGAUGAUGUCAUCUAAGAAAUAUGUUAUACAACAUGUCAACAUCUUAAAUUUGUGCAAAUACAUGUAAAUGACAAUAAUAUCAAAUGCAUAUCACUCAUACAGAUCAGAAUUCUUAUCUUUCCUAAAAUAGUAGCCAUUAUGUACUUCUUGCUCAACUCAGCUCCUAAGACAAAAUCAGCUUCCCUUGGUUACAUAGAAUUUCUUUUAUCAUUCGAUCAAGACUUCCCAGCUCAUUAUCACCAAAGACAUCACUAUAAUGGGCAGCAUACAACUACUGUUAGCAGCAUCCUCAAUCCUCCUUUCCUCAAUGGUAAUGACCAUGUUAAAUGCCAGGUGUGCAACUAAUAUGACCACACCAUCUUAAGUGCAAGCUAUAUUUGGUGGAUUAUCUUUCCAAUCAGGUGGUCUAAUUAAUCUGGGGGUUUCUUCAUGGGUAUGCUGGACUUUUGUUGUUUGGGUUUUGCCAUUUUAUAGCUUUUGAAUAGCUAGAGGCACUGGAGAUUUCUGUGGGUUCUCUGGCUCGGACAAGAGAGCGAGGGAGGCAGGGAAGGGCAUUAUAGCAUAUGGAAAGCAAAAUAG
Molecule: unclassified non-coding RNA, 1677 nt
Filed under: Hevea brasiliensis (rubber tree)
Lineage: Eukaryota; Viridiplantae; Streptophyta; Magnoliopsida; Malpighiales; Euphorbiaceae
Source: RNAcentral